GACAGAGGUGCCAAGCGUUAGGCGGAAUCACUGGGCUUAAAGCGCGUGUAGGUGGCGGCCUAAGUACCUUGUGAAAUCCCACGGCUCAACCGUGGAACUGCUUGGUAUACUGGGUCGCUUGAGUCAUCCAGGGGCAACUGGAACAAGCGGUGGAGCGGUGAAAUGCGUAGAUAUCGCUUGGAACGCCAAAGGCGAAAACAGGUUGCUGGGGAUGUUCUGACACUGAGACGCGAAAGCCAGGGGAGCGAACGGG
RNAcentral lists this ribosomal RNA (253 nucleotides) under uncultured bacterium. RNAcentral's name for it is "partial 16S ribosomal RNA". It matches the Rfam family "Bacterial small subunit ribosomal RNA", at positions 524 to 776 of the family's 1533-position model. The record is from RNAcentral.